AAUAAAUACAGUUUUGUAUUAUUCACGUUCAACGUUUGACCGUUCGUCUUAUUUUAAAAAAAUUAUGAUUAGUAUUUUUAUUGCUAUUAGAUGAUAAAACAUGAAUAGUGUAACUAAAUAUUUUUAAAUUUUUUACAAAUUUUUUAAAUAAAAUAGACGGUCAAAUGUUGGGUAUGGAUAUUUACGGCUGUACUUUAU
This is a non-coding RNA of Oryza glumipatula, 198 nucleotides long. The record is from Rfam. Lineage: Eukaryota; Viridiplantae; Streptophyta; Magnoliopsida; Poales; Poaceae.